GAUGUUUUCCAUCAUAUUUUUACUUAUAACUUUCACACACAAAGACGUUUUUGUAAAUGCAAGCUGUAAGCUACAAAAUUGAUGAAGUAAAAUAUCGUAAUCAAGCUCGACCUGAGCUGUUUUAAAAAACAAAAAAUUUCUCCUCUUCUUUUGGACGUGCAUUCCGAUAUUUUUAAUUGAAAGUUUUGAUUUAUUUAUGAAUAAGGAUUCCAUAUUUACAUAAAGUUUUUGGAAGACAGAUUAAUAUAAAGAAUGAAACGUGCUAUCCAGAUAUUUACUAGUUAUUUCCUCUCUUUCUUAAAAUAUUUUGCCACAUAGCCUGGUAUUUUAUGUAUGAUGUCUGUUUGAGUUAAUAAUAAGAGUCCUUAUUUGCAUCAGAGUUACAUACUAUUGUAGUAUUCGAUACUGUUGUAAUAUGUUUCCACUGAGGAAAAAAAUGAACAACGGAAGAAGGGAACACCUGAAAAAUGAAAAAGACUAAAGCAAAAAGUUUCAUCAAAUGUGUUCCUUCCAGAAGAACAAAGACUUGGAAAAGAAAAAAUAUUGGAGUCAAAUUCUUUUGAGAAUGAUACCUAAAUGUUUAUGCCAUUGAAUGUUCCAAUCAAAGUUGAACCUUGUGAUGAGGAAAAUAAGCAGAUGUUUCCUAGUCAAACAGCUUCUAGUUCACAUAAAGAUUUCUACUAUGUUGACAAAAACUGUUUUGAAAUGAAGUCAGCAUUUAAUUCUACUAUACCAAAAGAUGAAUGUGAUGCAACUGAAUAUGUAGAAACUUGUUAUGGUGAUAAAAAUGAAGAUGAACUAAUUUUGCCUGACAUUGCACCAGAUUCAGAGUAUGAUGAUACCAGCAAUGAUGUUGGGCAAAGUGCAUCUUCCAGCAUUCCAGAGAUGCCACAGCAACAAUGUGUUCAUAAAAAGAGGAGGGGUGAAAGUAAAAGAAGGUUGAAUUCCAGGAAAAGAAAUUCAGGAGAAAAUUAUAGGCUGUACGGUGGGAAAGGUCCAGUGGUGAAAUCAGCAGAAAUAGGUCGAGAUUGUAAAUGUCCAAAAAAAUGCUUUGAAAAAAUAGAAGUAAAUGAAAGACAAAUUUUAUUUCAUACAUUUUGGAAGUUGCAAGAUUUCAAUGCCCAAAACAAAUUUAUCUUUGAUUUAAUAAAAAUUGAAAAUGUGAAACGUAGAUAUACGAAAGGUGAUAGUAGACGCUCUGUGUCUGUUGUUUACAAUAUGCAAUUAAGUGGUCACCAAAUUGCGGUGUGUAAGAAAGCAUUUGCAAGCAUUUUAGGUCUGCAGAAUCAUGUUGGACGUAUUAAUAACAUUGUUAAGAAAAUGAAAACGACUUCUGCUUUACCUCCUGAUGGACGAGGUCACCAUGCUUCCCACCCUCUUAAAUACUCGGACAGUGACAUAAAUCAAGUUCAUAAACAUAUACAUUUUUUUCUUAAAUAUAAAAGUCAUUAUAGCAUGAAUAAGAAUUUAAAUAAACAGUAUAUCUUAAUGGAACAUUCACUAUGUAGUUUGUAUGAAGAUUAUGUGGCCAAUUAUUGUGAAGAAAAUAAUAUACGGCCAGUCUCUGAAGAUAAGUAUAGAAGAAUUUUCUCCGAAGACUUCAAUAUAAAUUUCGAGCAACAUAAGUCAAAGGCAUAUCUUUCAUGUGAUCAGCUGCAUGUAAAAAGUACAGGAUUAAAAGAUAAUGAGGAAAAGAGUGACAAAUGUACCAGUUAAAAAGAAAUGCAUUUAAACAAAGUGGUCAGACUAAUAUUUCCUUGCAGACAGAAGAGACAAAAAAAUAUUCCUAAUUAAAAUUUUAUUACUUUUGACAAGCUUGCCCUAUUCUGAAACUUUUUUACAGGUACAGUUUUAUAUGCUAUUUUGUAUGCUAUGUAAAUUUUGGACUCAUAACUUUAAAUGUCCACAUAAAACUUAAGUGACAUGGAUUUCUUGUUUGGGAUGAGAUUGUUGUAAAAAGAUACUCAAAUGGAAUAAUCAAUUGACCAAAUAAAUAUUUUAAAUCAAAUGAUCAAGUGAUAAUCUAUUAACAAUUUGGGACAAUUUUUUUGGCUAGAACAAAAAUUGAAAAGUGAUUUGGAUUUGAUUCUAUCGAAUGGCCACUGUUGAACUCUGUUUUCCCACUUUUGGUUCACACAAUAUUUCCAUUUUUACUGUAGUUACAGAGUAUGUUAAAUGACAUGUGCAAUAUAAAUAUUUAUACUAUAUUUUUCUGAUGAAUAAAUUUAGAUAUUAAUUAAAAAUGCUGUAAUCAAACCAUUGAGUGAAACAAAAUGAUGCAUGGUUUCAUAAAUUUGGGUAAACUGAAUACUUGUUUCCAAAAGAGAAACUUCAAUAAAGAAAACCAUCCAAUUUAUUUUGACAUGUGCUUUAUUUAAAGUCUUUCAAAGUUGUAAAAAUAUUUAUCAGGCAUUCUUAUUGCUCUCUCCUAGUUAAAAAUAUAUUAGAUGUCAGCAGACAUUAAAGAGUGUGAGCUGAACUUUUUAUUAAUAUUUUUCUAAUAAUACAAUACUGCAACCAGUUUGGUUUGAAAACUUUUUAAAUUUCUCAUCCGCAGUUAUGAAAUAAUUAUUAAAAAUGUGACAAGUUUAAACUAUACCAUCAAAAAGAAAUCACUAGUCUUUUUUAUUUAAAUAAUUAAUUUGUCUUCAAUCUUGCACAAAUGUUCUGCUAUUGUGUGAUAAAUGUUCAUUCUUUUUCAUGAAACUUAGUAUAUAUGUGUGUACAAAAAUAUUGGAACUUCUUUGAAAGAAAGGUAAUCUAAUGCUGCAUAUUAUGGAUAUAUAUAUUAUUAUUUAACAAUAGAUAAUUGAACUUAAAUCAUUCUGUGAUCAUUCAACUGGUAAAAUAAGAACUGAAAAUGUGCAUUUUUUUAUAUUUACAUUAAUCAAGUUGGUGUGAGCUAAAAUGGUUCAAGAGAUCAACGCUUGUCUCCUGAUGACAGAACCAAGGUUUGAUUCCCAGUCAUUCAGAACCAGACUAACAUCUGCCCAGUGGUGACAUAAAAUGCUUUGCAGUGGUAGCCAGAUCAUAGAUUUCAUUAAAAUUCCCUUGACGUGGCUAAGCGUUAAUAGUUUUCUUCUCCAUGUAACAUUAAAGCAGUUAUUUCCAUUAAAAAAAAAUAAAAAAUCUGAUGAUUAAUCAAAGAGCUCCCUUGUCAUGUGGUUUGGAUUCAAAAUCACAAGGCUACAAAUUUAACAUUUAAAAAAUAAAUGGGCGAGCUAUGCAGUGCCGAUUAUGAAAUAAAACAAGUUAGUGGAAAUUAACGUAAAUAAACUUUUAAAGUUUUUAUUGCAAUUUUUGAAGUGUUGUAACAUCACAACUGUAUCUUGCUUUAUGAUUCAAAAAUAUAAAUUUGGUGAAAAUGUUUUAUAAAAUUGCUCUUUUAAAUUAUGCCAACCAUUUUUUAAUUGCUAUGGAUAUAUGCCAAAAAAUAUUUUUUAAAAAUUAAGUAUGAAACUAAUACUUCAAAAGCUCAUUAAGUUCAUAUUGCAAAUACUCACAACUUGCCAAAUAUUAAAUACAUUUUUUUAUAUCAAAUAUGAAGUAAUCUUCAGUUUUAAGUAAUUUUUCUAGAUAAUUUCUAAUUAUAUUUUUAAAAAAACAUGCAGCAAAAAAUAUUAUUUCUCUUGAUGCCAAUACUUAUGUAAAUGUACUGUGCGCAAAAUAAAAAACGGACCAUUCUAAAUAACUCUUUAUCUAAUGAUUCGCAUCUUCACGCUCUAAGACUUAAUGUUAAAGUUUCAAGGGGUGGCCUUGUCAAACCAUUCAGACCAUAUUUUCCAGAUUGCGACUACCCCCUAUAUUUUGAGGGUUGGAAAUCCAAAUCCAUCGAGAGAAAAAAAGGAAUAUUUAUUCAGAGAUAGUACGGUUUUGUGUCUGAUGUCACAACUUAAAAUGUUCUCUGCACUUAAUAAUUAGUAUACUUAAGGUCACCCCUUGAGCCAUUAAGAUUGAGUCCUAGAACAUGAAGCUCCGAUCAUUAGAUCAAAAGUUAUUCAGGGUGGUCUGUUUUUUGUGCUAUGUUCAUUAGGUUUAUGAAACAGAGUGUUUGCAUUACAUAUAAUAAGCAAAGACUUAACAGUAAGUUACAGCCUAAUGGAAAAAUUUUAUGAUGUAUUCAAAUAUUGAUCUAUAAUUAAACUAAAUUUUGAUUGAAAGGUACAAGUAGAGUAUUAUCUUAACUUACUUUUUAACUGAAAAAACCAUCUAUACUUCUGUAGAAAUUGGUAAAAAUGUCAAAUACCGAGAGUGUCUUCACAGAGUGUUUCUAUUAUUUUCAUUAAAAAUAUAAUUCACCUAAAUCAAUAGAAUAUAAAAUGUAAUAUAUUAUUAUGCUUGUUAAGCCUAUAUAUCAAUAUAUAUAUAGAGAGAGAACCUUCUAUGUCUACAACAUUGCAUACUGUAGAGAUAAAAGUUGAACCAUGUGAAGAUGAAAAAGACAAUAAUUUUUGUUCUUGUAUGAUAGAUAUUAGCACCAUCUUGUCUUCAAGUAUGUGACACAAUAUCAAUAUACAACAUAUAAAAUAUUAAUCGAGGUUAUAAAAUAUCUUAAUGAUUGGGAAAUAUGAAGAUAAGUUUGAAGCAACUGAAAAGUAUUGUUUAUAAAUUGGGAUCAGUUUUGAAAAACUAAACAAGUGUUUGCUAGAAAACUCAUCAAUAAAGUAUUGGUAGAAGCUGAAAAGGGCUAUUUGAAUAGACUUGUAGGUGUGUUUCACUCCCUUGAUAAAAAGCAAAAACUAAAAGAGUUGGAUUCUCCUGUUGAGGCAGAAAGCAAUACUAGUACUAAUUUGUGGCUACUUGACCCUCACUAUAUUUGUCCACUGAAAAAUAAGGUUCUCACUAAAAUGGAGAAAAAAAAGUCUUCUAAAAUCUUUAGAGCAAAAUCCUUCAGUCAAACUUCAUGCAUCUAGGUUGAGAUCAUUAUCAACUUUGCAGUACUUUUUAGUAAAUAAGCUUAUUAAUGAAACCUUUUCUGAAGAUGUUUUGGGAAACUUAGAGCAUCCUCUGGAAUAUGUUUUCUCAUGAAAUAUUCUUCAAGAAAAUCUGAUGUUUUUUCUUGUAACACUUCUUUAAAAUCUGUGCAGCUUCCAAUAUCUAAUAAAUCCAAAUAUAGAUUAAGAUUUACAAACAAUAGUUCCAAGUGAAUCAGUGUCAUCAUUUUCCAAAACGCCUUUGCCGAUUAUUUUAGAAAAUUCUUUCCAACAACCUGAAACCAUUCCUACACUAACUCAAAUAUUUAAGCAAAAUUCUUCUUUGCAAACUUGUGAAGAAUCUUGCCCCAACACCAGCCCAAAUAUAUCAACAAAAUUCAAGCAUAUUUUUAAAUACAACUUAUUCAUCAUUGCAAGUCAAAAAAAAUAUUUGAUUCAACACCUACACGAUCAAUAGAACAAAAUACUCACGAAUUUUUAAUACAACAUAUGAUUAGUCAUUAGGAGUCAAAAAAAGAAUAUUUUAAUCUGACAUCUACCUGAAAAUUCAAAAAACAGGCUCACAUAUCUUUAAAUCCAAGGUUUUUAUUACCAACUAAAAAACAUCUAUUAUUUCAACAACUGCCCAAAGAUUGGUAUAAAAAUUUCUUUGUUUCUUAAAGAAUAUUUUCAGAUUCAAUUUACUCCAACUCAGUAAUCUAACUCCUAAAAUUUUGCAACAAUAAGAAAUUAAGCGUAUUCUCUAAUUAUAUUCAAAUAAUUUCCGCAACUGUUCAGUUUAUCUUAAUACAUGGUCAAAAUUCUAAGGCAAAAAGACAUUUCAAUGAAAAUACAUCAUUUAUUCGAACAUUCUCAAAAAGUGCAGCUCCUUCAAAACUAUUUCUGUCAUACCAAUAGUAUUUCAACAUCUUCACAUCAUUUACCACAUUUUCCAAUGUAAAAACCAAUUCAUCGGCAGGCGUUUGAAUUCACUUGUUUUGUGACUGGAAUGUUUUUAUGUAAAAAAGUAAAUAUGUAUACAAAGUUUUCGUCAAUAAAAAUGUUUCUGAAUAUGA
Molecule: non-coding RNA, 5989 nt
Organism: Parasteatoda tepidariorum (common house spider)
Lineage: Eukaryota; Metazoa; Arthropoda; Arachnida; Araneae; Theridiidae
Source: RefSeq, a predicted model, not a curated record